GCAAGUCGAGCGAAUCUUUGGGAGCUUGCUCCCGAAGGUUAGCGGCGGACGGGUGAGUAACACGUGGGCAACCUGCCUAUAAGACUGGGAUAACUUCGGGAAACCGGAGCUAAUACCGGAUAAUCCUUUUCCUCUCAUGAGGGAAAGCUGAAAGACGGUCUCGGCUGUCACUUAUAGAUGGGCCCGCGGCGCAUUAGCUAGUUGGUGAGGUAACGGCUCACCAAGGCGACGAUGCGUAGCCGACCUGAGAGGGUGAUCGGCCACACUGGGACUGAGACACGGCCCAGACUCCUACGGGAGGCAGCAGUAGGGAAUCUUCCGCAAUGGACGAAAGUCUGACGGAGCAACGCCGCGUGAACGAUGAAGGCUUUCGGGUCGUAAAGUUCUGUUGUUAGGGAAGA
Molecule: ribosomal RNA, 401 nt
Filed under: Bacillus sp. 038-2.1-CV-H(h)-07
Lineage: Bacteria; Bacillati; Bacillota; Bacilli; Caryophanales; Bacillaceae
Description: bacterial SSU rRNA
Rfam family: Bacterial small subunit ribosomal RNA
Source: RNAcentral